This 440-nucleotide ribosomal RNA is filed under the name uncultured bacterium. RNAcentral describes it as "partial 16S ribosomal RNA". It matches the Rfam family "Bacterial small subunit ribosomal RNA", at positions 338 to 795 of the family's 1533-position model. The record is from RNAcentral.
CCUACGGGGGGCAGCAGUGGGGAAUAUUGCACAAUGGGGGAAACCCUGAUGCAGCGACGCCGCGUGAGUGAAGAAGUAUUUCGGUAUGUAAAGCUCUAUCAGCAGGGAAGAAAAUGACGGUACCUGAGUAAGAAGCCCCGGCUAACUACGUGCCAGCAGCCGCGGUAAUACGUAGGGGGCAAGCGUUAUCCGGAUUUACUGGGUGUAAAGGGAGCGUAGACGGCAGCGCAAGUCUGGAGUGAAAGGCCGGGGCUUAACCCCGGAACUGCUUUGGAAACUGUGCAGCUAGAGUGCAGGAGAGGUAAGUGGAAUUCCUAGUGUAGCGGUGAAAUGCGUAGAUAUUAGGAGGAACACCAGUGGCGAAGGCGGCUUACUGGACUGUAACUGACGUUGAGGCUCGAAAGCGUGGGGAGCAAACAGGAUUAGAUACCCCAGUAGUC